Chelonia mydas (Green sea turtle) is the source of this 1324-nucleotide long non-coding RNA. RefSeq lists it as uncharacterized. The record is from RefSeq and is a predicted model, not a curated record. NCBI's taxonomy places the organism in Eukaryota, Metazoa, Chordata, Testudines, Cheloniidae. The transcript is spliced from 2 exons.
CCUUGGUGGAAAGUCUAGGGGCAUCAGAAGGGCUGUGGAUUCCUGCGCCUCAAUCAGUACCGGUCCAGUACCUAUGGGGCACUGUGGCUGGCUGUGCUCUGUGAAACUUUUGCUGCUGUAUUCCAGCUUGGAGGAGGCUGCAUUUCACCCAUCUCCUACCAAGCUCCACCUGCCACCAGGUAAAUCCACAGGGAGCAACACCACACCUGGAGAAGCCAAGACUGGAGCUGUCUGGAAUACACUUAGCCUGGCAGAUAACAUGCAUCUACAAUGUCCUGGGAAACACAUUCUGACUUCUGCUAUGCCAGCAAGCCAGCAUCACAGACCUAGUCAUUCCCACAAUAACCCUCCUGACCCCGUCUGAGGCCAGGACCUUCCAGGACACCCAUGGCAGGCUGGAGAGUGGCAUAGGAGCCUGAGCAGACAAUGCCAUGUGCAUCUCUGGCAGAGGAGGAAGGGCUGAAGCCAGACUGCAGCGCAGAGGAGCAGAGUUUGCAGGAGUUGCCCCCAGGGAAAAGGCACCUCCCAAACAGGGUGGCAAGUGACUAUGGGCUUCAGUGUGGAGGAAGGGUGAGGCAGGGGAACACUGGGUUGGGUCUAAUCAACAGGCGGGCACAGUCACCCCUGCAAAGGUUCCAUGCAAGACUGCUGGGACCUGCAUGGAGGAGAAGGGGCUGGCCAGAGGUCAGAGCCCCUCCCCGGUUUCAGGUCCGUCUGCCUGGACACUGUGAAUGGCAGGAGGAGAAGCUGAUACAGUUCUGGGUUAAGGAGAGGGUUGGCUCAGCCCCUCUGAAUACCCAGGUGCCACUUUGCCAAGGACGCCCCAGGAUCAGGCCGUGAACAGGGAUCACCGUCACAGCUUCAGGAAGGUGUUGACAUGCACGGGAACAGGGACACUUGCUGAUACUUGUUGCAUUAGAUAAAUUUCACAUAGGACCGGCUCAGUCUGCCACACCCAGAGCUGGGCUCCUGUUCCAACAUCUGACCCUAUGUGCGGCCCAGAUGCGCAUGCUCGCAAGGAGACAUGUAGAUAGACACAUGGGCGCCGAGACAGAGAUGUGCCUGUCCACAAACUCACUCCCACAUGCCUGAACAUGAGUGCUCCCCAGAUGUACACACGUGCACCCCCAGACAGCCUGGGAAGGGCACACCCAGAGAGAGAGAGACACACACACCUAGGCAGUUCUGUACAAACAGCCUGGAAGUGCACACACACACAGAUGUUCACCCACACACACUCUGACAUGCUCUCACACAGACGUGUGGACACACACACACACGCAUCUCCCUUCUCUCCCCUGUGCUGCAGGUUCCCCCAUUCCAG